CCUACGGGUGGCAGCAGUGGGGAAUAUUGGGCAAUGGGCGCAAGCCUGACCCAGCAACGCCGCGUGAAGGAAGAAGGCUUUCGGGUUGUAAACUUCUUUUUUCAGGGACGAAGAAAGUGACGGUACCUGAGGACUAAGCCACGGCUAACUACGUGCCAGCAGCCGCGGUAAUACGUAGGUGGCAAGCGUUUUCCGGAUUUAUUGGGUGUAAAGGGCGUGUAGGCGGGAGCGCAAGUCAGAUGUGAAAACUCAGGGCUCAACCCUGAGCCUGCAUUUGAAACUGUGUUUCUUGAGUGCUGGGGAGGCAAUCGGAAUUCCGUGUGUAGCGGUGAAAUGCGUAGAUAUACGGAGGAACACCAGUGGCGAAGGCAGAUUGCUGGACAGUAACUGACGCUGAGGCGCGAAAGCGUGGGGAGCAAACAGGAUUAGAUACCCGAGUAGUC
RNAcentral lists this ribosomal RNA (443 nucleotides) under uncultured bacterium. Its description in RNAcentral is "partial 16S ribosomal RNA". It matches the Rfam family "Bacterial small subunit ribosomal RNA", at positions 338 to 795 of the family's 1533-position model. The record is from RNAcentral.